CCUACGGGUGACUGCAGUGGGGAAUAUUGCACAAUGGGGGAAACCCUGAUGCAGCGACGCCGCGUGAAGGAAGAAGUAUUUCGGUAUGUAAACUUCUAUCAGCAGGGAAGAAAAUGACGGUACCUGACUAAGAAGCCCCGGCUAACUACGUGCCAGCAGCCGCGGUAAUACGUAGGGGGCAAGCGUUAUCCGGAUUUACUGGGUGUAAAGGGAGCGUAGGCGGUGCAGCAAGUCAGAAGUGAAAGCCCGGGGCUCAACCCCGGGACUGCUUUUGAAACUGUUGAACUAGAGUGCAGGAGAGGUAAGUGGAAUUCCUAGUGUAGCGGUGAAAUGCGUAGAUAUUAGGAGGAACACCAGUGGCGAAGGCGGCUUACUGGACUGUAAAUGACGCUGAGGCUCGAAAGCGUGGGGAGCAAACAGGAUUAGAUACCCCAGUAGUC
This 440-nucleotide ribosomal RNA is filed under the name uncultured bacterium. RNAcentral's name for it is "partial 16S ribosomal RNA". It matches the Rfam family "Bacterial small subunit ribosomal RNA", at positions 338 to 795 of the family's 1533-position model. The record is from RNAcentral.